Molecule: transfer RNA, 75 nt
Filed under: Kibdelosporangium phytohabitans
Lineage: Bacteria; Bacillati; Actinomycetota; Actinomycetes; Pseudonocardiales; Pseudonocardiaceae
Description: tRNA-Pro
Rfam family: tRNA
About the family: Transfer RNA (tRNA) molecules are approximately 80 nucleotides in length.
Source: RNAcentral
CAUGGAGUAGUUCAGUGGCAGAUCACCCGGCUUGGGACCGGGAAGGCGCGGGUUCGAUUCCCGCCUCCAUGUCCU